RNAcentral lists this ribosomal RNA (254 nucleotides) under uncultured bacterium. RNAcentral describes it as "partial 16S ribosomal RNA". It matches the Rfam family "Bacterial small subunit ribosomal RNA", at positions 524 to 776 of the family's 1533-position model. The record is from RNAcentral.
UACGUAGGGUGCGAGCGUUGUCCGGAAUUAUUGGGCGUAAAGAGCUCGUAGGCGGUGUGUCGCGUCGGCCGUGAAAACCUGCAGCUUAACUGUGGGCUUGCGGUCGAUACGGGCAUCACUGGAGUUCGGCAGGGGAGACUGGAAUUCCUGGUGUAGCGGUGAAAUGCGCAGAUAUCAGGAGGAACACCGGUGGCGAAGGCGGGACUCUGGGCCGAUACUGACGCUGAGGAGCGAAAGCGUGGGGAGCGAACAGG